AGCGAACGCUGGCGGCAGGCCUAACACAUGCAAGUCGAACGGAUCCUUCGGGAUUAGUGGCGGACUGGUGAGUAACACGUUGGAACGUGCCCUUUGGUUCGGAACAACUCAGGGAAACUUGUGCUAAUACCGGCUGUGCCCUUCCGUGGAAAGAUUUAUCGCCAUUGGAGCGGCCCGCGUCGGAUUAGUUUGUUGGUGAGGUAAAGGCCCACCAAUGCUACGAUAAGUAGCUGGUUGGAGAGGAUGAGCAGCCACACUGGUACUGAGACACGGCCCAGAAUACUACGGGAGGCAGCAGUGGGGAAUCUAGCGAAAUGGGCGAAAGCAUGAAGCAGCCAUGACGGGUGAAUGAUGAAGGUCUUAGGAUUGGAAAAUUAUUUCAGAGGGGACGAUAAUGACGGUACCAGCAGAAGAAGCACCGGCUAACUUCGUG
This 433-nucleotide ribosomal RNA is filed under the name uncultured bacterium. RNAcentral's name for it is "partial 16S ribosomal RNA". It matches the Rfam family "Bacterial small subunit ribosomal RNA", at positions 29 to 507 of the family's 1533-position model. The record is from RNAcentral.